Molecule: ribosomal RNA, 1339 nt
Filed under: uncultured bacterium
Lineage: Bacteria
Description: bacterial SSU rRNA
Rfam family: Bacterial small subunit ribosomal RNA
Source: RNAcentral
GAUGAACGCUGGCGGCGUGCUUAACACAUGCAAGUCGAACGGAAAGGCCGAAGCUUGCUUCGGUACUCGAGUGGCGAACGGGUGAGUAACACGUGGGUGAUCUGCCCUGCACUUUGGGAUAAGCCUGGGAAACUGGGUCUAAUACCAGAUAGGACCACGUCUUGGAUGGUGUGGUGGAAAGUUUUUUCGGUGUGGGAUGAGCUCGCGGCCUAUCAGCUUGUUGGUGGGGUAAUGGCCUACCAAGGCGUCGACGGGUAGCCGGCCUGAGAGGGUGUACGGCCACAUUGGGACUGAGAUACGGCCCAGACUCCUACGGGAGGCAGCAGUGGGGAAUAUUGCACAAUGGGCGCAAGCCUGAUGCAGCGACGCCGCGUGGGGGAUGACGGCCUUCGGGUUGUAAACUCCUUUCGCCAGGGACGAAGCGUAAGUGACGGUACCUGGAUAAGAAGCACCGGCUAACUACGUGCCAGCAGCCGCGGUAAUACGUAGGGUGCGAGCGUUGUCCGGAAUUACUGGGCGUAAAGAGCUCGUAGGUGGUUUGUCGCGUCGUUUGUGUAAUACCGCAGCUUAACUGCGGGGUUGCAGGCGAUACGGGCAUAACUUGGGUGCUGUAGGGGAGACUGGAAUUCCUGGUGUAGCGGUGGAAUGCGCAGAUAUCAGGAGGAACGCCGAUGGCGAAGGCAGGUCUCUGGGCAGUAACUGACGCUGAGGAGCGAAAGCAUGGGUAGCGAACAGGAUUAGAUACCCUGGUAGUCCAUGCCGUAAACGGUGGGCGCUAGGUGUGAGUCCCUUCCACGGGGUUCGUGCCGUAGCUAACGCAUUAAGCGCCCCGCCUGGGGAGUACGGCCGCAAGGCUAAAACUCAAAGGAAUUGACGGGGGCCCGCACAAGCGGCGGAGCAUGUGGAUUAAUUCGAUGCAACGCGAAGAACCUUACCUGGGCUUGACAUGCACCGGAUCGCUGCAGAGAUGUAGUUUCCCUUGUGGCUGGUGUACAGGUGGUGCAUGGUUGUCGUCAGCUCGUGUCGUGAGAUGUUGGGUUAAGUCCCGCAACGAGCGCAACCCUUGUCUUAUGUUGCCAGCAUUUGGUUGGGGACUCAUGAGAGACUGCCGGGGUUAACUCGGAGGAAGGUGGGGAUGACGUCAAAUCAUCAUGCCCCUUAUGUCCAGGGCUUCACACAUGCUACAAUGGUCGGUACAACGCGCAGCUACUUCGUGAGGAGGCGCUAAUCGCUGAAAGCCGGUCUUAGUUCGGAUUGGGGUCUGCAACUCGACCCCAUGAAGUCGGAGUCGCUAGUAAUCGUAGAUCAGCAACGCUGCGGUGAAUACGUUCCCGGGCCU